This 451-nucleotide ribosomal RNA is filed under the name uncultured prokaryote. Its description in RNAcentral is "bacterial SSU rRNA". It matches the Rfam family "Bacterial small subunit ribosomal RNA", at positions 355 to 796 of the family's 1533-position model. The record is from RNAcentral.
UGGGGAAUUUUGCGCAAUGGGCGAUAGCCUGACGCAGCGACGCCGCGUGUGGGAGGAAGCCUUUCGGGGUGUAAACCACUGUCAGAGGGGAAGAACGGCGUCGAUCCGAAUAGGAUCGGCGAUUGACGGUACCCUCAGAGGAAGCGCCGGCUAACUCCGUGCUAGCAGCCGCGGUAAGACGGAGGGCGCGAGCGUUGAUCGGAAUUACUGGGCGUAAAGCGCGGGCAGGCGGUUUGUUUAGUCGUUUGUGAAAAUCCGGGGCUCAACCCCGCGAAAUGCAGACGAUACUGGCAGGCUGGAGACCGGUAGAGGCUAGCGGAAUUCCUGGUGUAGCGGUGGAAUGCGUAGAUAUCAGGAAGAACACCUGUGGCGAAGGCGGCUAGCUGGGCCGGAUCUGACGCUCAUCCGCGAAAGCGUGGGGAGCAAACAGGAUUAGCUACCCCCGUAGUCC